GAGAGAGAGAGAGAGACAGAGAAAUUGGAAGAUAUAUUUUAAAAGACACUAUUGCAGUGGUGCACUUUUUUAUUGUUUGUCAAAAAAUAUGGUGACUUGUAUUGGAAAUUGGAGGGCAUAUUUGCAUACUCCUAGAUUGUUGUUUAGAGUAUAAAUGACAAUGACAAAGAAGCAUUCUACCCUCAUUUAAAAUGUUAACAAAAUGAAGAUGAAAUCUAAAUCAAAUUAGAUGAUUAUUUAAGAAAUCAAACAGAUCCUUUUACCUUGAUGUCACAAUUUGGAGCACUUGACUUCCUGAAGGUAUUGUUAGGUACGAAAGCCCAGAACUCACUGCAAUUUUGGAGCCAGCCAUAUUUGUUGUAAAGAUUUUUUUUUUCUCAUAAGUUUUGAAGCCAUAUUUUUGGUGUCGAAAUUUUUGUCAAUUACAAUGCAAUAAUUGAAGAAGUUAAAAAUAAAAAAAGAAGGUAAAAAAAAAGAAAGAAAAAGUAACAUUUAAGUUUUAAGUUAUAAAAUAAAAGAAUCAAAGUUAAUGUUUUAAGCAAAAUUUCCAUUGAAAAAAUAUUUUAAUAAAUAAAUUCUAUUUUGAAUAAUAGGCAUAAUUACAGAAAUUCUAUUAUAAAAUUAGUUUGGAAAAACAUAUUUUGAUUAAGAUGUACAAAAGUGGAAUCAAAUGAUAG
RNAcentral lists this unclassified non-coding RNA (677 nucleotides) under Hevea brasiliensis (rubber tree). The record is from RNAcentral. Lineage: Eukaryota; Viridiplantae; Streptophyta; Magnoliopsida; Malpighiales; Euphorbiaceae.